Molecule: long non-coding RNA, 352 nt
Organism: Zalophus californianus (California sea lion)
Lineage: Eukaryota; Metazoa; Chordata; Mammalia; Carnivora; Otariidae
Exons: 3
Source: RefSeq, a predicted model, not a curated record
CUCUGAAAACAAGAACAAUCUGGAAUGUCACUGUUCAAGUUAAAGAUACUCAAGGAGUAAAGGCUCACACUUCAUGAAUUCGGUGUUUUCAUUCUUUCCAGGAAUUCUUCAUAUGCAUCACAGGGGAGAAACGGAAUCUAGGUGUUACAAGAGAAACUUGGUCUGUGUAAGAAGCUGGAUAUGCAUUAUGAUUGUCUGCUUUUCCAUAGGACUAUGGAUAUAGUUCACAGCACAGCCUAAGAUGAGUUGAAGCAUCCUUCCAAGCUCUGCUGCAUCAGAAUGUUCUCCAAUAAGAUUCACAUCAGGAAGGGUAAAGUCAUUAAUUUGCUGUCCUAAAAUCUGAAUGGCGACA